Molecule: ribosomal RNA, 474 nt
Filed under: uncultured bacterium
Lineage: Bacteria
Description: bacterial SSU rRNA
Rfam family: Bacterial small subunit ribosomal RNA
Source: RNAcentral
CUGGCUCAGAACGAACGCUGGCGGCAUGGAUUAGGCAUGCAAGUCGAACGAGGCAGCAAUGCCGAGUGGCGGAAGGGUGAGGAACGCGUGAGUAAUCUGCCCCCUAGUUGGGAAUAACAGUUGGAAACGACUGCUAAUACCGAAUGUGGCUUAUUGGUCGCAUGACCGAUGGGCUAAAGAUUUAUCGCUAGGGGAUGAGCUCGCGUCCCAUUAGCUAGUUGGUGAGGCAACGGCUCACCAAGGCGACGAUGGGUAGCUGGUCUGAGAGGAUGGUCAGCCACACUGGGACUGAGACACUGCCCAGACUCCUACGGGAGGCUGCAGUCGAGAAUCUUGGGCAAUGCGCGAAAGCGUGACCCAGCAAAUGCCGCGUGCGGGAUGAAGGUCUUCGGAUUGUAAACCGCUGUCAACCGGGACGAACACAAUGACUGUACCGGUGAAGGAAGCCACGGCUAACUACGUGCCAGCAGCUGC